RNAcentral lists this ribosomal RNA (333 nucleotides) under Triticum aestivum (bread wheat). Its description in RNAcentral is "partial small subunit ribosomal RNA". Lineage: Eukaryota; Viridiplantae; Streptophyta; Magnoliopsida; Poales; Poaceae. The record is from RNAcentral.
AUGGCAGACGAACCAUCUGCCAAGCGUCAUCAUGGCGAGCCGUCGGACAAGAGCAGCGACUUCAUCGAUGUUCACGUCCCCGGUGAGAAGCGCGAGUACACGAGAACCCUCACAGGGGUUGAGCUCCACGGCAAAGAGAUGCUGGAGAUCGUCUGCACCAGUGAACCAGACAAGGCCGACAAGGUGAUGAUCAAUGUGUGUCUCCCCCUUUGCAGGCCCAAGCGCCUCAAACAGUUCCUACAGGAGGAGACAUUGUACACAUUUGUCGGUUUCAGCAUUGGAGGCGACAAGCAGAUGCUGAACAAGUCUGGUUUGGAGAUCAACCCCAACAAC